GACGAACGCUGGCGGCGUGCUUAAUACAUGCAAGUCGAGCGAGGUUACUGUUUCGGAUCCCUUCGGGGUGAAGAAGCUUUAACCUAGCGGCGGACGGGUGAGUAACGCGUGGGUAACCUACCCCAAAGUCCGGGAUAACAGCGGGAAACCGCUGCUAAUACCGGAUGUCUUUACCUUGGGGCAUCUUGAGGUAAAGAAAGGUAACGCUUUGGGAUGGGCCCGCGUCCCAUUAGCUAGUUGGUGAGGUAACGGCUCACCAAGGCGACGAUGGGUAGCCGGCCUGAGAGGGUGGACGGCCACACUGGGACUGAGACACGGCCCAGACUCCUACGGGAGGCAGCAGUAGGGAAUAUUGCGCAAUGGACGGAAGUCUGACGCAGCGACGCCGCGUGAGCGAUGAAGGUCUUCGGAUCGUAAAGCUCUGUCCUUGGGGAAGAAGGUCUUCGGACUUGACGGUACCCAAGAAGAAAGCCCCGGCUAACUACGUG
RNAcentral lists this ribosomal RNA (488 nucleotides) under uncultured bacterium. RNAcentral's name for it is "bacterial SSU rRNA". It matches the Rfam family "Bacterial small subunit ribosomal RNA", at positions 28 to 507 of the family's 1533-position model. The record is from RNAcentral.